RNAcentral lists this ribosomal RNA (431 nucleotides) under uncultured bacterium. Its description in RNAcentral is "partial 16S ribosomal RNA". It matches the Rfam family "Bacterial small subunit ribosomal RNA", at positions 29 to 507 of the family's 1533-position model. The record is from RNAcentral.
AACGAACGCUGGCGGCAGGCCUAACACAUGCAAGUCGAGCGCCCUUUCGGGGGAGCGGCGGACGGGUGAGUAACGCGUGGGAAUAUGCCCUUCUCUACGGAAUAGCCUCGGGAAACUGAGAGUAAUACCGUAUACGCCCUUUGGGGGAAAGAUUUAUCGGGGAAGGAUUAGCCCGCGUUGGAUUAGGUAGUUGGUGGGGUAAUGGCCUACCAAGCCGACGAUCCAUAGCUGGUUUGAGAGGAUGAUCAGCCACACUGAGACUGAGACACGGCCCAGACUCCUACGGGAGGCAGCAGUGGGGAAUCUUAGACAAUGGGGGCAACCCUGAUCUAGCCAUGCCGCGUGAGUGAUGAAGGCCUUAGGGUUGUAAAGCUCUUUCAGCUGGGAAGAUAAUGACGGUACCAGCAGAAGAAGCCCCGGCUAACUCCGUG